This 158-nucleotide ribosomal RNA is filed under the name Entoloma clypeatum. Its description in RNAcentral is "partial 28S ribosomal RNA". It matches the Rfam family "Eukaryotic large subunit ribosomal RNA", at positions 8 to 163 of the family's 3401-position model. The record is from RNAcentral. Lineage: Eukaryota; Fungi; Basidiomycota; Agaricomycetes; Agaricales; Entolomataceae.
AAAUCAGGUAGGACUACCNGCUGAACUUAAGCAUAUCAAUAAGCGGAGGAAAAGAAACUAACAAGGAUUCCCCUAGUAACUGCGAGUGAAGCGGGAAAAGCUCAAAUUUGAAAUCUGGUAGUCUUUGGCUGCCCGAGUUGUAAUCUAGAGAAGUGUUA